UGAACCGAUGAUGACGAGUCAGCGUUAUAAGUCACUGACGAUGACUACUAAUUUUCUGUCUGAGGUUCAC
Molecule: small nucleolar RNA, 70 nt
Organism: Myodes glareolus (Bank vole)
Lineage: Eukaryota; Metazoa; Chordata; Mammalia; Rodentia; Cricetidae
Product: small nucleolar RNA SNORD113/SNORD114 family
Source: RefSeq, a predicted model, not a curated record